GUAUGUAUUACUUGCUUUGGCCACACAUUUUCUAAAAUCGGAACAAUGCAGAGAUGAUUAGCAUGGUUCCUGUGCAAGG
This 79-nucleotide small nuclear RNA is filed under the name Lepisosteus oculatus (spotted gar). Lineage: Eukaryota; Metazoa; Chordata; Actinopteri; Semionotiformes; Lepisosteidae. The record is from RNAcentral.